AGAGAAACAGACUAAUAUUAGCGUAGAUGCCAUUCUUUUAAUGAUGUAGCAAGUACAUUGGGUACUGGGGUCUGGGGUCAAGGCAUACAGACAUGUCAAGGAAUUUGGCUACAGUUGCCGUAAUCCUCUUGUUAAGCCACUCCUGAACCACAGACAGCGUCAAAGGUGUCUUACCUAGGCUAAGGAGAAGAAUAACUGGACUGUUGCCCAGUGGUCCAAAGUACACUUUUCAGAUGAGAGCAAGUUUUGUAUUUCAUUUGGAAACCAAGGCCCUAGAGUCUGGAGGAAGGGUGGAGAAGCUCAUGGCCCAAGUUGCUUAAUUUCCUGUGUUAAGUUUCCACAGUCUGUGAUGAUUUGGGGUGAAAUGUCAUCUGCUGGUGUUGGUCCAUUGUGUUUUUUGAAAACCAAAGUCACUGCACCUCUUGGUAUUGUCAAGAGGAAAAUGCAGAUGAGCUGAAGGCCACUGUCAAAGAAACCUGGGCUUCCAUACCACCUCAGCAGUGCCACAAACUGAUCACCUCCAUACCACGUCGAAUUGAGGCAGUAAUUAAAGCAAAAGGAGCUCCUACCAAGUAUUGAGUACAUGUACAGUAAAUUAACAGUAAAUUAACAUACUUUCCAGAAGGCCAACAAUUCACUAAAAAUGUUUAUUAUUAUUAUUAUUAUUAUUAUUAUUAUUAUUAUUAAAUUGUAGAGAGUGAAUUGGUGGGUUUUUUCAAUUUGAGUUGAAUUACUGAAAGAAUUAACUUUUCCACGACAUUCUAAUUUAUUGAUAUGUACCUAUUUCUAGCUUUAUAUGGAGAGCUGUAAAAUAAAACAGUUUACAUUUUUGUGAAAAUCACAAAGCCAAGAUUAGGUAUAUAGUGUUUAUUGCUUUAUGUGAGUAGUAUACUGUAUGUUCGCAGGUACAGUAUCAGCAUUCAGUUUUCAGUUACAGCCUUACCCUUUAAUAAAGUCCAUGUCUUACUGUUGUUCAUAAAAUAACUUGUUGUUCCACAAUGUCGUGAUAUUCUCUCUGUAUAUUCUCCAAUGGGUUACAUGAAUGCAAUAGUUUAAUCGUUUAUCAACAGUAGUUUAAUACCUUUUCCUUCUCUUCCAAAAACUCUCACUCCCACUUUCUAAAACCUAUUUUUAGCUCCUUAUACUGAAUGAUUGGUGAGAGCAAAGCACGACUCUUUCCUCCCAUGGAAAGUAACACAACAGGCUGUGUCUCAGAUAUUAUUAGCACCUUCUAUGUUCAGGUCCCCACUGAUCAGAGACACCCUGUAUCCUUGUCAUGGAGAUGCACAAUGAUGCAACAAGCCUAUUCCACAGAUGGAUGACACAGAUGGAUGCCCCCCUCCCCACACCAACGCACCUCGAUAUUCACAUUCACCACCUCAGAAUUUCCCAGAUACAUGCUGUUUAGCCCAUUAGCGGGCCAUAUUAAGUGUUAAGAGACAGCCCAUUAGCCCAGAUUAUGCGCCUAUCACUUGGGAUGAAUUCAUCAGACAAUGACGUGCGCAAAUAGCACUUAGCCGGAGCUCAAGGCUUGGAUUACGCACAUGCCACCCCCACAGGCUCACUGGAGAAGAAUCCGAAUACUGUUGUCCUAACCGCAUUUUCAAAUAAAUGAAUAUAAGGACCAUUUUGCCUCGAUUCUCUCCUCAAGUGUAGUUAGUUAACUUCAAAGCUUCUAUGUAGUUAACAUGUAAUUUCAUACUUGAGAUUGGCUACAUUUAACUUGUACUUCUGUUGUUUCUCAUUGAGUUUUAUAAAGCAUCUCUGAACAGUGAACUCUCACUCAUUCAUUCAUCCCAUAUACUCGUUAGUUUUGCCGCUUAUUUUCCUUCAUUAUUUCUCUCUUCUUCCAUAUUACAUUGUCAACUUAUUUAUGCACUUGUUGCUCACAGAAGAGAUGAUUUUUCAGUUGUUUCUUGAAGAUUGUGAGGGAUUCGGCUGUCUGGAUGGAGUUAGGUAGGUCAUUCCACCAACAGAGUACGGUGAAAGAAAACGUAAGCCACGACUGGAAGACAGUGCAGAGAGAUCAGAAGCAGUGUGACAUGGACUCUCUUGGGCUCAUUGAAACCAAGACAUGCUUCUGCAUUCUGACUCAUUUGCAGAGGUCUGAGUGCACUUGUUGGAAGUCAAGCCAGAAGAGCAAUGCAAUAGUCCAGCCUAGAAAUGACGAAGGACUGGACGUGAAGCUGCAUUGCAUGCUUUGUUAGGAAGGGUCUGAUCUUCCUGAUGUUGUACAAACCUGCAUUAUCAUGCUGAUUUUGCAAUAUGAGCCUUAAAGGUCAGCUGAUCACCAAGGAUCACCCCAAGAUUCCUGAACGAACAUGAUUUUUGUGGAAUAUAGCAUGCCAGUCAUACAUUUAUUGUACUUUCAUGCUGUUUCUUUGCAUUCUUUGGAGCUUGGCAGCAUAAAUCACCAUUCAUUUUACAGUUUUAAUUAGAAAAUACCAGCUAGGACAAUCUUUAAAAUAUGAAUAUGAACAAAAAACACAACCUUUCAGGUGUGAAUUUUGUUGAAAACACAAUGGUUUAACGUGUAAGGCCACGGAGUUGUCAUUCAGUGAAUUUCAAAUGUUAUUUAGGGGAAGGGAAUAUGAUAAGAGGAUGACAAUUCUUACAUCCAAUAUGAACAUCUUUUUCUAGUAAAGAUCAUCUUCAAACCUGGGAGAAAUUGUUCAGCAGAAAUGUUCCUUAUGACAUACUAAAUAUUCCCACCUCUGAAAUUGCGUUGUUUACUAAGCUAACUAGAAAUCCCCUGAAAGACAGGAAGUAAGAUGUUUGGUUACAGUUACUUCCUGUGGUUGAGUUUUACAAAACAUUUUAAGUUUAGGGCUAAGAGAAGAAAAGAGAAAAGGAACUGAUAGCCAAAGUUUGACGUUGUUAUGAAACUACGGCUAUGUUGAGAAAGGAGCAGAGUUUGAUUAUAUCAAAUCAAAUGAAUGCAAGUAGCUCAGAGGGCAAGUUUCAUACUGACUGUCUGACGUGAACUGUGGUAUGCAUGCACACCGCUUAUAAUAUCUCAUAACAAUAGUUUGACAUCACAGAAAUUAUUUACCUUGGUGUUUACAUUUUUACAUGUGGCACAGUAUUUGCAUCACUUUUUUUCUAAGAAAAAAAAAGAGCUUAUGUAACCCAAUAUCUGGGUUAUAUGAUAUCUGUAUGUAUGACUUCUAUAUAAUAUAUGAAUAAUAUUUUCUGUGUCUCUUACCAUUUUAAUCCAUCUCCAGCUAUUGCAGACCUGUGUUCUGAUUUCUACAAAGCAUCUGAUGUUUUCUGCUGCAAUAAAUCUGAGGCAGAGCUGUUGACGGGUCUGUCCGUUACCUCAAUGGUUGUGGUUCGGUUAUUGUCACCUUGGGGCCACAGGGCUGAGUGAUGUGUCAGUCCACCAACAUGGCCCCGAAACACAUUCCCAACACUACAGUGACUGUUGCAGCUAUUACGGGAGCAGGCGACAGCUCCAUUGGUGCUGUGGCUUUCUACCCAUUAUCCCACAAUGCCGCUGGCAGAGAUGGCCAGGAGAGCCAACCUCAUCGCAGCCGUGUCUGUACAAACUCUCUGCACUCAAACGACUUUUCCAUUUCAGAAGGAUCUGCCAACUGAACCAUUCUGAAGGUGACCCUUGACCUAUAAACAACACCAUUAAUCUGUCCACAGUGUCCACAGAAUUAUUGUUUGUAUAAUAAACAAAACCAU
Molecule: long non-coding RNA, 3690 nt
Organism: Carassius gibelio (silver crucian carp)
Lineage: Eukaryota; Metazoa; Chordata; Actinopteri; Cypriniformes; Cyprinidae
Exons: 3
Source: RefSeq, a predicted model, not a curated record